GUCGACGACGUAGUUUGACUCCUGGCUACGAGGACGAACGCUGGCGGCGCGCCUAACACAUGCAAGUCGAACGGAGCUACGUUUUCUGAAGUUUUCGGAUGGACGAAGAUUUAGCUUAGUGGCGAACGGGUGAGUAACGCGUGGGUAACCUGCCUUUUAGAGGGGGACAACAGUUGGAAACGACUGCUAAUACCGCAUAAGACCACGGUACCGCAUGGUACAGUGAUCAAAGGAGCAAUCCGCUAAAAGAUGGGCCCGCGUCUGAUUAGAUAGUUGGUGGGGUAACGGCCUACCAAGUCGACGAUCAGUAGCCGGACUGAGAGGUUGAACGGCCACAUUGGGACUGAGACACGGCCCAGACUCCUACGGGAGGCAGCAGUGGGGGAUAUUGCACAAUGGGGGAAACCCUGAUGCAGCGACGCCUCGUGAGGGAAGACGGUUUUCGGAUUGUAAACCUCUGUCUUCAGGGACGAAAUUUGACGGUACCUGAGGAGGAAGCGACGGCUAACUACGUG
RNAcentral lists this ribosomal RNA (515 nucleotides) under uncultured bacterium. Its description in RNAcentral is "bacterial SSU rRNA". It matches the Rfam family "Bacterial small subunit ribosomal RNA", at positions 1 to 507 of the family's 1533-position model. The record is from RNAcentral.